Oncorhynchus tshawytscha (Chinook salmon) is the source of this 334-nucleotide long non-coding RNA. The record is from Ensembl. NCBI's taxonomy places the organism in Eukaryota, Metazoa, Chordata, Actinopteri, Salmoniformes, Salmonidae.
GGACUAGAUGAUGAGGUGUAUUAGGACUAGAUGAUGAGGUGUAGUAGGACUAAAUGAUGGUGUGUAUUAGGACUACAUGAUGUUGUGUAUUAGGACUAGAUGAUGAGGUAUAUUAGGACUAGAUGAUGAUAUGUAUUAGGACUAGGUGAUGAGGUGUAUUAGGACUACAUGAUCAGGUGUAUUAGGACUACAUGAUGAGGUGUAUUAGGACUAGAUGAUGAGGUGUAUUAGGACUACAUGAUGAUGUGUAUUAGGACUACAUGAUGAGGUGUAUUAGGACUACAUGAUGAGGUGUAUUAGGACUAGAUAUUGAGGUGUAUUAGGACUAGAUGAU